AGAGUUUGAUCMUGGCUCAGAACGAACGCUGGCGGCGUGCUUAACACAUGCAAAGUCGAACGGGGUUAUAUAGUGUAGCAAUACAUUGUAUAACUUAGUGGCGGACGGGUGAGUAACACGUAGGUAACCAACCCUAAAGCGGGGACAACCCAGGGAAACUUGGGCUAAUACCGCAUAAGACCACGGACUGGGAGGUCUGUGGUAAAAGCAGCAAUGCACUUUAGGAUGGGCCUGCGGCCUAUCAGGUAGUUGGCGGGGUAAAGGCCCACCAAGCCUAAGACGGGUAGCCGGACUGAGAGGUUGAACGGCCACACUGGAACUGAGAUACGGUCCAGACUCCUACGGGAGGCAGCAGUGGGGAAUWUUGCRCAAUGGGGGAAACCCUGACGCAGCAACGCCGCGUGAGUGAUGAAGGCUUUCGGGUCGUAAAGCUCUGUCAGAGGGGAAGAAAUGUAUGGAUGCUAAUACCAUCUUUACUUGACGGUACCCUCAAAGGAAGCACCGGCUAACUCCGUGCCAGCAGCCGCGGUAAUA
Molecule: ribosomal RNA, 534 nt
Filed under: bacterium enrichment culture clone Cont150_3130
Lineage: Bacteria
Description: bacterial SSU rRNA
Rfam family: Bacterial small subunit ribosomal RNA
Source: RNAcentral